UACAGAGGUCUCAAGCGUUGUUCGGAUUCAUUGGGCGUAAAGGGUGCGUAGGUGGCGCGCUAAGUCAGGUGUGAAAUUUCGGAGCUUAACUCCGAAACUGCAUUUGAUACUGGCGUGCUUGAGGACUGGAGAGGAGACUGGAAUUCAUGGUGUAGCAGUGAAAUGCGUAGAGAUCAUGAGGAAGACCAGUGGCGAAGGCGGGUCUCUGGGCCAUUACUGACGCUGAGGAGCGAAAGCGUGGGGAGCGAACAGG
This 253-nucleotide ribosomal RNA is filed under the name uncultured bacterium. RNAcentral's name for it is "partial 16S ribosomal RNA". It matches the Rfam family "Bacterial small subunit ribosomal RNA", at positions 524 to 776 of the family's 1533-position model. The record is from RNAcentral.